Molecule: ribosomal RNA, 460 nt
Filed under: uncultured bacterium
Lineage: Bacteria
Description: partial 16S ribosomal RNA
Rfam family: Bacterial small subunit ribosomal RNA
Source: RNAcentral
CCUACGGGCGGCAGCAGUGAGGAAUAUUGGUCAAUGGCCGGAAGGCUGAACCAGCCAUGCCGCGUGAAGGUCAGUGCCCUAUGGGCGUUAAACUUCUUUUGUGCGGGAGCAAUAAUGGUCACGUGUGGCCAGACGAGAGUACCGUACGAAUAAGCAUCGGCUAACUCCGUGCCAGCAGCCGCGGUAAUACGGGGGAUGCAAGCGUUAUCCGGAGUUAUUGGGUUUAAAGGGUGCGUAGGCUGUGAGGUAAGUCAGCGGUGAAAUGCCCCCGCUCAACGGGGUGAAGUGCCAUUGAUACUGCCUGGCUGGAAUGCGGAGGCCGUGGGAGGAAUGUGUGGUGUAGCGGUGAAAUGCAUAGAUAUCACACAGAACACCGAUUGCGAAGGCAUCUCACGAAUCCGCGAUUGACGCUGAUGCACGAAAGCGUGGGUAUCAAACAGGAUUAGAUACCCGGGUAGUC